GCCUGUUGUGGUGUCGUAUAUUCCAUGCUUUUUUUCUUGUGUUUUUUUUUUUUGAAAACGAAAAGUCUAGAUAAUGUCCCUUAAUUAAACUUUAACUAACAUAAAUAAAGGGUGCAGUGUCGGUGCCACGAGUGGGCCCUGGGGGGCAUGGCCCGUCCACUUGAGUCACUGUGCCUCCUUACUUCUCAAAAUAAUAACGAACUUAAUAAUUUAAAAAAAUGUUUUACAAAUUACUUUUAUUAUACCAUGAAUACUGGUUAAAGAAUAAAGAGUAUAAGUUAAUUAAAAAAAAUAAUAAUUGUACUAACCCAUAAUGCAGUGCUAACAUAGUCAGCCAAUUACAUUCACGCUGCCACUACGUCAGUAACGUAAAUCAGUAGGCUAAAUGGUCAGUGAAAUCGUUAUUCUAAAGUUUGCGAAGUUCGUCUGAAAACAUCUACUAAAACAUUGUUUUAAUUUGCAUUUGAGCGGGAAAAAAAAUUCGCCAUUCGUUGAAGGACCUUUUUCUUCAAAAAUUGAAUUCCUCUCGUCGCCUGCAGCUCUUCUAAAGAGAAAAUGGAGUGAUAAGCCAAACAUUUCUCCAUGGACAGAGCACUGCACCGUGUCAGCACAGUCAAUAUUUACACAUGCAGAAUUCUCCGCUUACAUGUGAUGGGAUGUUCAGUUAUGCCUGACAUUUUCAGCCUGCGAGCUUCGAGGAGAUAGUGGCAGAGCACAUCAAACACACCAAGCAGAUCCUUCAGCACUGUUAGAAAUGUCAAGCACUGAAGGAAAUGAAGACAGCUGCUGUGUUCACAAAUACAGGACUGCUACCCAAAAUGCCCUGAGAGACAGCAAAUUGAGACUCAAAAUGGAGGCAGUGGGCCUGGACUGCUGACUUGGCGGAUAAAAGCUGGCAGAGCAGGCUAAUGGUCUGCAGCGGCCGAGAGAGCAUUUGCAUGGAAAAGCAGCUGUCGUCUCAACAGCCGUUCUGUUCAACCCAAGGUUUGGGAUGUGUCCUGAGGUGCCAUGCAGGCCCAAUGGGAUCAAUUACGCAGGCCCCAGCAUGCACUUCAGCUCUGCAGGGGCAGCCAUCUUCUGACUCCGAUCUGUACUGGACUUCCAGUAGGUCGUCUUCUCGAAUAAAAAAAAAACACCCAUUUUUAACACGUACUAAUAAACCGGUUGUAUGAA
This is a long non-coding RNA of Tachysurus fulvidraco (yellow catfish), 1173 nucleotides long. RefSeq lists it as uncharacterized. The transcript has 4 exons. Lineage: Eukaryota; Metazoa; Chordata; Actinopteri; Siluriformes; Bagridae. The record is from RefSeq and is a predicted model, not a curated record.